GAGACCAGCUCAGCAGGUUGGGGCUGAAGAACAGGUGCUGUGAAACUUAAGGAAAAAUUUAACAUAAAACAAGACACAGAGACAUUUAUCUUAAAUAAAGGUGGGAACCAGGGUACUCAAGGUCUCAGGGACCAAAAGCGCUGCCUCAAGAAACCACACUGCUUUUAUUGUGUUCUUUAGGAUGACAUUAAAUGAGGAGGGGCUAUGGGUGGAGGAUAUAAGGUUUGUUUACUAUUUUAUAUGUUCUUUUAUUAUUUUAAAAGCCACUUAGCUGGCAGAAGGUUAAGCUUUUACUCUUUUAGGCACAUCACAAUCAUUAGUAUUUGAGUUAUCUGUCUAUGCAUAGCAUUCCAGAGAAUCCUCACUGUGAUUCCACAAAGGGCAUGCCUAUUUGCAGCACCCAACAUGCCUAGGUUUGCACCCUGGUUCUCUUUGCCAAUGCACAUUCUGCUAGGACCACUCAUAAACCACUUGGCCAUGAGGUUCCUCUUUCACUUAUUAUUUUGAGGACAUAUCAUGCUUGUGCAAAUGGCAUGACAAUCUGCACAGGUCUGGCAUGCCUAGACCAAUGGAUUAUGUCCUCAUUCAGCUGACCCUAUGAAUAACUUAUGCCUUUAGGUCUUUGUUCUUAAGCUUAAGUCAUUUACCAGCACUGUGACUGUUUUUCAAGCAGGAAGAUGAUAUAAAGUAAAGCAGGAAGAUGGGAUUUUUCAGCAAAAAAAAAAUAAUUUUUGGAAGUCCUUGCCACAGCAAUCAGAAAAAUAAAAGAAAUAAAAGGAAUCCAGAUGGGAAAGGAAGAAGUAAAACUAUCACUAUUUGUAGAUGACAUGAUAAUAUACCAGAGAAUCCUGAAGACUCUGCCUGAAAACUGUUAGAGCUCAUCCACGAAUUUGGCAAAGGCACAGGAUACAAAAUUAAUACACAGAAAUUGACAGCAUUUCUAUACACUAACAUUGAAAGAUCAGAAAGGGAAAUUAGGGAAGCAAUCCCGUUUACCAUCACAUCCAAAAGAAUAAAAUACCUAGGAGUAAACCUACCUAAAGAGACAAAAGACCUGUACUCUGAAAACUGUAAGACACUGAUGAAAGAAAUCAAAGAUGACACAAAUAGAUGGAAAGACAUACCAUGCUCCUGGAUUGGAAGAGUUAAUAUUAUCAAAAAGACUACACUACCCAAGUUAUCUACAGAUUCAAUGCAACCCUUAUCAAAUUGCCAAGGACAUUUUUCACAGAACUCAAACAAAAUAUUGUAAAGUUUGUUUGGAAGCACAAAAGACCCAGAAGAGCCAAAGACAUCCUGAAAAAGAAAAAUGGAGCUGGAGGAAUCAGGCUCCCGGACUUCAGACUAUACUGCAAAGCAACAAUCAUCAAAGCCAUAUGGUAUUGGCACAAAGACAGAAAUAUAGAUCAGUGGAACAGGAUAGAAAGCCCAGAAUUAAAACCACGCACCUACAGACUACUAAUCUAUGACAAAGGAGGCAAGGAUAUACAGUGGAGAAAGGACAGCUUGUUCAAUAAGUGGUGCUGGGAAAACUGGACAGCCACAUGGAAAAGAAUGAAAUGAGAACACUCCCUAACACCAGACACAAAAAUAAACUCAAAAUGGAUUCAAGACCUAGAUAUAAGACCAGACACUAUAAAACUCUUAGAGGAAAACAUAGGCUAAACACUCUGUGACAUAAACGACAGCAACAUCUUCUCAGAUCCACCUCUUAGAGUAAAUACAGUAAAAACAAAAAUAAACAAAUGGGACCUCAUUAAACUUAAAAGUCUCUGGACAGCAAUGGAAACCCUCUACAAAAUGAAAAGACAACCCACAGAAUGGGUGAAAGUCUUUGCAAGUGAAUCAACUGACAAGGGAUUAAUCUCCAAAAUUUUUAAACACCUCUUACAGCUCAAUACUAGUAAAACAAACAACCCCAUCAAAAAAU
RNAcentral lists this long non-coding RNA (1930 nucleotides) under Sus scrofa (pig). Its description in RNAcentral is "lncRNA (ENSSSCG00060042152.1)". The record is from RNAcentral. Lineage: Eukaryota; Metazoa; Chordata; Mammalia; Artiodactyla; Suidae.